ACUUAAAUUGAAGAGUUUGAUCAUGGCUCAGAUUACACGCUGGCGGCACGCCAAACACAUGCAAGUCGAGCGGUAGCACAGACAGCUUGCUCUCGGGUUACGAGCGGCGGACGG
RNAcentral lists this ribosomal RNA (114 nucleotides) under Klebsiella pneumoniae. RNAcentral's name for it is "partial 16S ribosomal RNA". It matches the Rfam family "Bacterial small subunit ribosomal RNA", at positions 1 to 105 of the family's 1533-position model. Lineage: Bacteria; Pseudomonadati; Pseudomonadota; Gammaproteobacteria; Enterobacterales; Enterobacteriaceae. The record is from RNAcentral.